Molecule: long non-coding RNA, 1386 nt
Filed under: Phaseolus vulgaris (common bean)
Lineage: Eukaryota; Viridiplantae; Streptophyta; Magnoliopsida; Fabales; Fabaceae
Description: long non-coding RNA (PVUL_LNC002628)
Source: RNAcentral
GCCUUUUCAACAAUUCUCAAUUGUUGGGUUUCAUUAGACUGGAUAAACAAACAAGACCAUAAAACAAAACUGGAGAUGGAUUCUACCUUUAUCAGUAAAGUUAAUUCAAUAUAUACAUGGAAACAUGUACAGUUCCCCAGCUUUAAAUGAUUACAGUGCUCAAAUGGUUAGCUCUCUACAUCAUACACAAUAUUUGCAUACUACACCGCUAUGCUAAAAAAUGUAAGGGAAAAAACAACAAAAAAAGUGGGGAAAAUGAUACAACAGCCAGCCAAAAGGUGGGGGAAAAUAAUACAACAGCCAGCCAAAAGGUGGGUAAAAAAAUGAUACAACAGCCAGCCAAUCGAAACAGCACAUUAUCAGCAUCCUCUGCUAAAUCCUAAUACAUAUUUCAAACAAUAAGUUCUAAAUAAUCUAACACAUUUCAGACUUCAGCAAGUUAAACCCAUUACAUCAACAUGAUGGUUUAAUUAAUCAUGUGCUAAUAACUGAAACAUAAAUUCAAAUCAAAAGCUAAUACUUCAUAGCAAAAGUUCCACUUCUCAAUGUAAGAAAAGAAUUGUCAUGACUUGAAUCCCCAACAGUGAAGUCGCUUGAUGGCCAUCACAACCCAGAGUUUAAAUGAACAGUUUCCUUUCUCAAAACAAUUGUCCCUACAUCACGCAGAAGUCCAAAUUGUUUUCAAUUCAGAAGGCAUUAACAGAAAGUAGAGCAGGUAUAACUCAUAUAAAGUGGAAAACAAUUACAUCCACAAUUCAGUUAAACACACAGAUAAACUCAGUUAAAAAAUUUCCUCCAAAAUUCAAUUACAUAAGCACAGGUAGGCAUAAGACUGAGGAUAUAAUACAUUUAUCCCAGAAACAAACACAUUUCAAGCAUUGGAUGCUGCAAACCAAAAGCUUUAGACCAUAGAAACACGUAUUUGAAGUACUGACGUGAUAAUAUUAAAAAAUAUUGCCUUCUAAACUUCAUGUACACCGUAUCAAUCCAAGAAAAUAUAAUUGAAAAUCACUUUACUUUCUUUUCUUCCUUCUCUGCCUAAACUAAAUAUACUUUCAACUUGAUAUCAGAACAAAUGCGACCAUAGCCUAAAGCCAUUAUUUUUCCACUCACGUUCUAAAAAAACAAAAAUUCUGAACUCUCAAGAUUGGUGUCAACUACACGGAUUAAAAAAUGUCAUAGUAUUCUUUCAAUUACCAGUUUUUCAGAUAUGCAACCUAUAUCUAAAUCUUCUUUUAAAUAUUUUACUCACUUUUUCUUGUCCUUCCUCCACCUCUAAUUGAGUUUCAUUUUCCCAUUGGCCAUGCAAAACUUCCAGGCAAUGAUCCCCACACUUUCCUUCCAUCCAUGCUACUUUCUCUCUCCUACCACAACUGACCCUAUCAU